Molecule: ribosomal RNA, 158 nt
Filed under: Dictyosporium sp. SYH061
Lineage: Eukaryota; Fungi; Ascomycota; Dothideomycetes; Pleosporales; Dictyosporiaceae
Description: 5.8S ribosomal RNA
Rfam family: 5.8S ribosomal RNA
About the family: 5.8S ribosomal RNA (5.8S rRNA) is a component of the large subunit of the eukaryotic ribosome. It is transcribed by RNA polymerase I as part of the 45S precursor that also contains 18S and 28S rRNA.
Source: RNAcentral
AACUUUCAACAAUGGAUCUCUUGGUUCUGGCAUCGAUGAAGAACGCAGCGAAAUGCGAUAAGUAGUGUGAAUUGCAGACUUUAGUGAAUCAUCGAAUCUUUGAACGCACAUUGCGCCCCUUGGUAUUCCAUUGGGCAUGCCUGUUCGAGCGUCAUUUA